RNAcentral lists this ribosomal RNA (263 nucleotides) under uncultured bacterium. RNAcentral's name for it is "partial 16S ribosomal RNA". It matches the Rfam family "Bacterial small subunit ribosomal RNA", at positions 524 to 786 of the family's 1533-position model. The record is from RNAcentral.
UACAGAGGUCCCAAGCGUUGUUCGGAUUCACUGGGCGUAAAGGGUGCGUAGGUGGCGAGGUAAGUCGGAUGUGAAAGCUCGGAGCUCAACUCCGAAAUGGCAUUGGAAACUACCUUGCUCGAGGGUUGGAGGGGGGACUGGAAUGCUUGGUGUAGCAGUGAAAUGCGUAGAUAUCAAGCGGAACACCAGUGGCGAAGGCGAGUCCCUGGACAACUCCUGACACUGAGGCACGAAAGCUAGGGGAGCAAACAGGAUUAGAUACC